GUCGAGCGGUAACAGAAAGUAGCUUGCUACUUUGCUGACGAGCGGCGGACGGGUGAGUAAUGCUUGGGAACAUGCCUUGAGGUGGGGGACAACAGUUGGAAACGACUGCUAAUACCGCAUAAUGUCUACGGACCAAAGGGGGCUUCGGCUCUCGCCUUUAGAUUGGCCCAAGUGGGAUUAGCUAGUUGGUGAGGUAAUGGCUCACCAAGGCGACGAUCCCUAGCUGGUUUGAGAGGAUGAUCAGCCACACUGGGACUGAGACACGGCCCAGACUCCUACGGGAGGCAGCAGUGGGGAAUAUUGCACAAUGGGCGCAAGCCUGAUGCAGCCAUGCCGCGUGUGUGAAGAAGGCCUUCGGGUUGUAAAGCACUUUCAGUCAGGAGGAAAGGUUAGUAGUUAAUACCUGCUAGCUGUGACGUUACUGACAGAAGAAGCACCGGCUAACUCCGUGCCAGCAGCCGCGGUAAUACGGAGGGUGCGAGCGUUAAUCGGAAUUACUGGGCGUAAAGCGUACGCAGGCGGUUUGUUAAGCGAGAUGUGAAAGCCCCGGGCUCAACCUGGGAACUGCAUUUCGAACUGGCAAACUAGAGUGUG
This 594-nucleotide ribosomal RNA is filed under the name bacterium 4746K6-B3. RNAcentral's name for it is "bacterial SSU rRNA". It matches the Rfam family "Bacterial small subunit ribosomal RNA", at positions 61 to 650 of the family's 1533-position model. The record is from RNAcentral.